RNAcentral lists this ribosomal RNA (439 nucleotides) under uncultured bacterium. RNAcentral's name for it is "partial 16S ribosomal RNA". It matches the Rfam family "Bacterial small subunit ribosomal RNA", at positions 338 to 795 of the family's 1533-position model. The record is from RNAcentral.
CCUACGGGGGGCAGCAGUGGGGGAUAUUGCACAAUGGAGGAAACUCUGAUGCAGCGACGCCGCGUGAGGGAAGACGGUCUUCGGAUUGUAAACCUCUGUCUUUGGGGAAGAAAAUGACGGUACCCAAAGAGGAAGCACCGGCUAACUACGUGCCAGCAGCCGCGGUAAUACGUAGGGAGCGAGCGUUGUCCGGAAUUACUGGGUGAAAAGGGAGCGUAGGCGGGCGAGCAUGUUGAAGGUUAAAUCUGCUGGCUUAACUGGUAGCUGCGUUCAAAACUUCUUGUCUUGAGGGAAGUAGAGGCUGGCGGAAUUCCCAGUGUAGCGGUGAAAUGCGUAGAUAUUAGGAGGAACACCAGUGGCGAAGGCGGCCUGCUGGGCUUUAACUGACGCUGAGGCUCGAAAGCGUGGGGAGCAAACAGGAUUAGAUACCCGGGUAGUC